GAUGAACGCUGGCGGCGUGCCUAAUACAUGCAAGUCGAGCGAACGGACGAGAAGCUUGCUUUUCUGAUGUUAGCGGCGGACGGGUGAGUAACACGUGGAUAACCUACCUAUAAGACUGGGAUAACUUCGGGAAACCGGAGCUAAUACCGGAUAAUAUUUUGAACCGCAUGGUUCAAAAGUGAAAGACGGUCUUGCUGUCACUUAUAGAUGGAUCCGCGCUGCAUUAGCUAGUUGGUAAGGUAACGGCUUACCAAGGCAACGAUGCAUAGCCGACCUGAGAGGGGGAUCGGCCACACGGGAACGGAGGCACGGUCCAGACUCCUACGGGAGGAAGCAGGGGGGAAUCUUCCGCAAGGGGCGAAAGCCGGACGGGGAAACGCCGCGGGGGUGAUGAAGGCCUUCGGAUCGUAAAACUUUUUUAUUAGGGAAGAAAAUAUGUGUAAGUAAAGGUGAACAUUUUGACGGUACCUAAGCAAAAAGCCACGGCUAACCACGU
Molecule: ribosomal RNA, 496 nt
Filed under: uncultured bacterium
Lineage: Bacteria
Description: partial 16S ribosomal RNA
Rfam family: Bacterial small subunit ribosomal RNA
Source: RNAcentral